GAUGAACGCUGGCGGCGUGCUUAACACAUGCAAGUCGAACGGAAAGGCCCCUGCUUGCAGGGGUACUCGAGUGGCGAACGGGUGAGUAACACGUGGGUGAUCUGCCCUGCACUUCGGGAUAAGCCUGGGAAACUGGGUCUAAUACCGGAUAGGACGAUGGUCUGGAUGCCAUUGUGGAAAGUUUUUUCGGUGUGGGAUGAGCUCGCGGCCUAUCAGCUUGUUGGUGGGGUAAUGGCCUACCAAGGCGUCGACGGGUAGCCGGCCUGAGAGGGUGUACGGCCACAUUGGGACUGAGAUACGGCCCAGACUCCUACGGGAGGCAGCAGUGGGGAAUAUUGCACAAUGGGCGCAAGCCUGAUGCAGCGACGCCGCGUGGGGGAUGACGGCCUUCGGGUUGUAAACUCCUUUCGCUAGGGACGAGGCGCGAGUGACGGUACCUGGAGAAGAAGCACCGGCUAACUACGUG
RNAcentral lists this ribosomal RNA (466 nucleotides) under uncultured bacterium. RNAcentral's name for it is "partial 16S ribosomal RNA". It matches the Rfam family "Bacterial small subunit ribosomal RNA", at positions 28 to 507 of the family's 1533-position model. The record is from RNAcentral.